This 279-nucleotide ribosomal RNA is filed under the name uncultured bacterium. Its description in RNAcentral is "partial 16S ribosomal RNA". It matches the Rfam family "Bacterial small subunit ribosomal RNA", at positions 335 to 601 of the family's 1533-position model. The record is from RNAcentral.
ACUCCUACGGGAGGCAGCAGUGGGGAAUAUUGGACAAUGGGGGAACCCGUAGCAUCCAGCCAAUGCCGCAGUGUGUGAAGAAGGCCUGAGGGUUGUAAAGCACUUUCAACUGUGAGGAUUGGGAUUUUGGUUAAUACCCGAGAUCCUUGACGUUAGCAGUAGAAGAAGCACCGGCUAACUCCGUGCCAGCAGCCGCGGUAAUACGGAGGGUGCAAGCGUUAAUCGGAAUUACUGGGCGUAAAGCGUCUGUAGGCGGCUUAUUAAGUCGGAUGUGAAAAU